This 492-nucleotide ribosomal RNA is filed under the name uncultured bacterium. Its description in RNAcentral is "partial 16S ribosomal RNA". It matches the Rfam family "Bacterial small subunit ribosomal RNA", at positions 29 to 507 of the family's 1533-position model. The record is from RNAcentral.
AGUGAACGCUGGCGGUAUGCCUAACACAUGCAAGUCGAACGGCAGCACCGUAAGAGCUUGCUCUUACGGGUGGCGAGUGGCGGACGGGUGACGCAUACAUCGGAAUCUACUUUUUCGCGGGGGAUAACGUAGGGACACUUACGCUAAUACCGCAUACGCUCUACGGGUGAAAGCAGUGGAUCUUCGCACCUUGCGCGAUUGAAUGAGCCGAUGUCGGAUUAGCUAGUUGGCGGGGUAAAGGCCCACCAAGGCGACGAUCCGUAGCUGGUCUGAGAGGAUGAUCGGCCACACUGGAACUGAGACACGGUCCAGACUCCUACGGGAGGCAGCAGUGGGGAAUAUUGGACAAUGGGCGCAAGCCUGAUCCAGCCAUACCGCGUGGGAGAAGAAGGCCUUCGGGUUGUAAAGCCCUUUUGUUGGGAAAGAAAAGCAGUAGGUUAAUACGCCGCUGUUGUGACGGUACCCAAAGAAUAAGCACCGGCUAACUACGUG